UACGCUGCGGCGGAUCUGUCAUUUAAAUUAGAUUGUGACAAUUAUAUGGAUAGUCUGGUUGAGAUGAUAUAUGAGUUGCUCACUUUAUCUAUGCCGUGAUUUAAUUUCUGCCAGAGAUGCACUGAGUUAGGACCCCGUCAUCCUCUCACCGGACCUACGCUGAACAGAGCUAGGCCCAACCCGCAUGCUUCCCGUUAGCAGCUCGAAGGAUUUAGAGCUGGAGGUGGACUAAUAGCAACAUUUUAAUGAGAAGAAAGAUGUAGAAGGACAUCUUCAUUUCACACGAAGGAAUAGGCGCCUGCCUGGAAGUUUAAGGUCACAGAGAGAGGCUGAAGCAGAGGAGGGGAAAAAAAUGCACCUGUCUGAAUUGCCAGCCUGCAGACCCAGGCUCCCUCUGCAAUCACUGCCACUGUUCCAUGAGGUACUGAUCUCCAGUGCUGGUUCUUUUGUUGCUCCCUUCCUGUGAGGAACAGAGGAAUCAGUGAAUCUUCCAAGUGAGAAGGAACUUCCC
Molecule: long non-coding RNA, 511 nt
Organism: Lagopus muta (rock ptarmigan)
Lineage: Eukaryota; Metazoa; Chordata; Aves; Galliformes; Phasianidae
Exons: 4
Source: RefSeq, a predicted model, not a curated record